RNAcentral lists this unclassified non-coding RNA (152 nucleotides) under uncultured Pleosporales. RNAcentral describes it as "sequence contains ITS2". The record is from RNAcentral. Lineage: Eukaryota; Fungi; Ascomycota; Dothideomycetes; Pleosporales.
AAACCCUCAAGCGCUGCUUGGUGUUGGGCGCUUGUCCCGCCUCCGGGCGCGGACUCGCCUCAAAAGCAUUGGCGGCCCGUGUAGUCGGCUUCGAGCGCAGCACUCGCGCCUCGCGAACCACUGGCACGGGCGUCCAUGGAGACAACCCCCAA